RNAcentral lists this small nuclear RNA (107 nucleotides) under Stegodyphus mimosarum. The record is from RNAcentral. Lineage: Eukaryota; Metazoa; Arthropoda; Arachnida; Araneae; Eresidae.
GUACUUGCUUCGGCAAUGCAUAUACUAAAACUGGAAAGAUACAGAAAAGAUCAGCAUAGCCGCUGCGCAAGGAUGAGACGCAAAAUCGUGAUGCUUUCCACAUUUUG